RNAcentral lists this ribosomal RNA (374 nucleotides) under uncultured organism. RNAcentral describes it as "partial 16S ribosomal RNA". It matches the Rfam family "Bacterial small subunit ribosomal RNA", at positions 527 to 896 of the family's 1533-position model. The record is from RNAcentral.
GAACCGUCCAAACGUUUAUUCGGAAUCAUUGGGCUUAAAGGGUGCGUAGGCGGCGUGGUCAGUUGGGUGUGAAAUCCCUCGGCUCAACCGAGGGACUGCGCCCAAUACUGCCACACUCGAGGGAGACAGAGGUAAGCGGAACUGAUGGUGGAGCGGUGAAAUGCGUUGAUAUCAUCAGGAACACCAGUGGCGAAGGCGGCUUACUGGGUCUCUUCUGACGCUGAGGCACGAAAGCUAGGGGAGCGAACGGGGGAUUAGAUACCCCGGUAGUCCUAGCUGUAAACGAUGAGCACUUGAUCGGAGACUCCUCCAUAGGUUUCCGGUCGUAGCGAAAGUGUUAAGUGCUCCGCCUGGGGAGUAUGGUCGCAAGGCUG